This 215-nucleotide ribosomal RNA is filed under the name uncultured bacterium. Its description in RNAcentral is "partial 16S ribosomal RNA". It matches the Rfam family "Bacterial small subunit ribosomal RNA", at positions 118 to 334 of the family's 1533-position model. The record is from RNAcentral.
UCGGAACGUGCCCAAUCGUGGGGGAUAACGUAGCGAAAGCUACGCUAAUACCGCAUACGACCUACGGAUGAAAGCAGGGGACUCGCAAGAGCCUUGCGCGAAUGGAGCGGCCGAUGGCAGAUUAGGUAGUUGGUGGGGUAAAGGCUCACCAAGCCUUCGAUCUGUAGCUGGUCUGAGAGGACGACCAGCCACACUGGGACUGAGACACGGCCCAG